This 253-nucleotide ribosomal RNA is filed under the name uncultured bacterium. RNAcentral describes it as "partial 16S ribosomal RNA". It matches the Rfam family "Bacterial small subunit ribosomal RNA", at positions 524 to 776 of the family's 1533-position model. The record is from RNAcentral.
UACGUAGGGGGCCAGCGUUGUCCGGAAUCAUUGGGCGUAAAGCGCGCGUAGGCGGCCAGAUAAGUCCGGUGUGAAAGUCAAAGGCUCAACCUUUGAAUGCCGCUGGAAACUGCCUGGCUUGAGUCCGGAAGGGGCGAGUGGAAUUCCUGGUGUAGCGGUGAAAUGCGCAGAUACCAGGAGGAACACCAAUGGCGAAGGCAGCUCGCUGGAACGGUACUGACGCUGAGGCGCGAAAGCGUGGGGAGCGAACAGG